UACGAAGGGGGCUAGCGUUGUUCGGAAUUACUGGGCGUAAAGGGCGCGUAGGCGGUGCCUCAAGUCAGGCGUGAAAGCCCCGGGCUCAACCUGGGAACCGCGCUUGAGACUGGAGUACUAGAGUUCGGGAGAGGAUGGUGGAAUUCCCAGUGUAGAGGUGAAAUGCGUAGAUAUCUGGAGGAACACCGGUGGCGAAGGCGGCAUCCUGGACCGACAUUGACGCUGAGGCGCGAAAGCCAGGGGAGCAAACGGG
RNAcentral lists this ribosomal RNA (253 nucleotides) under uncultured bacterium. Its description in RNAcentral is "partial 16S ribosomal RNA". It matches the Rfam family "Bacterial small subunit ribosomal RNA", at positions 524 to 776 of the family's 1533-position model. The record is from RNAcentral.